This 253-nucleotide ribosomal RNA is filed under the name uncultured bacterium. Its description in RNAcentral is "partial 16S ribosomal RNA". It matches the Rfam family "Bacterial small subunit ribosomal RNA", at positions 524 to 776 of the family's 1533-position model. The record is from RNAcentral.
UACAGAGGUCUCAAGCGUUGUUCGGAUUCAUUGGGCGUAAAGGGUGCGUAGGCGGCGCGGUAAGUCGGGUGUGAAAUCCCCGAGCUUAACUUGGGAAUUGCGCUCGAAACUACGUGGCUCGAGUGUGGCAGAGGAAGGUGGAAUUCCAGGUGUAGCGGUGAAAUGCGUAGAGAUCUGGAGGAACACCGAUGGCGAAGGCAGCCUUCUGGGCCAACACUGACGCUCAUGCACGAAAGCGUGGGGAGCAAACAGG